GUCUUUGUAGUAUAGCAAUUACCUUGGUCUU
RNAcentral lists this transfer RNA (31 nucleotides) under Ursus arctos (brown bear). RNAcentral's name for it is "partial tRNA-Thr". The record is from RNAcentral. Lineage: Eukaryota; Metazoa; Chordata; Mammalia; Carnivora; Ursidae.